Molecule: ribosomal RNA, 2898 nt
Filed under: Streptococcus thermophilus
Lineage: Bacteria; Bacillati; Bacillota; Bacilli; Lactobacillales; Streptococcaceae
Description: 23S ribosomal RNA
Rfam family: Bacterial large subunit ribosomal RNA
Source: RNAcentral
UUAAGUUAAUAAGGGCGCACGGUGGAUGCCUUGGCACUAGAAGCCGAUGAAGGACGUGACUAACGACGAAAUGCUUUGGGGAGCUGUAAGUGAGCAAUGAUCCAGAGAUGUCCGAAUGGGGGAACCCGGCAGGUAAUGCCUGUCACUCAUUACUGUUAAGGUAAUGUAGAGGAAGACGCAGUGAACUGAAACAUCUAAGUAGCUGUAGGAAGAGAAAGCAAAAGCGAUUGCCUUAGUAGCGGCGAGCGAAACGGCAAGAGGGCAAACCGAAGAGUUUACUCUUCGGGGUUGUAGGACUGCAACGUGGACUUAAAGAUUAUAGAAGAACUACCUGGGAAGGUAGGCCAAAGAGAGUAAUAGCCUCGUAUUCGAAAUAGUCUUUAUACCUAGCAGUAUCCUGAGUACGGCGAGACACGAGAAAUCUCGUCGGAAUCUGGGAGGACCAUCUCCCAACCCUAAAUACUCUCUAGUGACCGAUAGUGAACCAGUACCGUGAGGGAAAGGUGAAAAGCACCCCGGGAGGGGAGUGAAAUAGAACCUGAAACCGUGUGCCUACAACAAGUUCGAGCCCGUUAAUGGGUGAGAGCGUGCCUUUUGUAGAAUGAACCGGCGAGUUACGAUAUGAUGCGAGGUUAAGUUGAAGAGACGGAGCCGUAGGGAAACCGAGUCUUAAUAGGGCGCAUUAGUAUCAUGUCGUAGACCCGAAACCAUGUGACCUACCCAUGAGCAGGUUGAAGGUGAGGUAAAACUCACUGGAGGACCGAACCAGGGCACGUUGAAAAGUGCUUGGAUGACUUGUGGGUAGCGGAGAAAUUCCAAACGAACUUGGAGAUAGCUGGUUCUCUCCGAAAUAGCUUUAGGGCUAGCGUCGAUGUUAAGUCUCUUGGAGGUAGAGCACUGUUUGGGUGAGGGGUCCAUCCCGGAUUACCAAUCUCAGAUAAACUCCGAAUGCCAAUGAGAUAUAAUCGGCAGUCAGACUGCGAGUGCUAAGAUCCGUAGUCGAAAGGGAAACAGCCCAGACCACCAGCUAAGGUCCCAAAAUAUAUGUUAAGUGGAAAAGGAUGUGGGGUUGCACAGACAACUAGGAUGUUAGCUUAGAAGCAGCUAUUCAUUCAAAGAGUGCGUAAUAGCUCACUAGUCGAGUGACCCUGCGCCGAAAAUGUACCGGGGCUAAAACAUAUUACCGAAGCUGUGGAUACCUUUAUAGGUAUGGUAGGAGAGCGUUCUAUGUGCGAAGAAGGUGUACCGUGAGGAGUGCUGGAGCGCAUAGAAGUGAGAAUGCCGGUAUGAGUAGCGAAAGACAGGUGAGAAUCCUGUCCACCGUAAGACUAAGGUUUCCAGGGGAAGGCUCGUCCGCCCUGGGUUAGUCGGGACCUAAGGAGAGACCGAAAGGUGUAUCCGAUGGACAACAGGUUGAUAUUCCUGUACUAGAGUAUAUAGUGAUGGAGGGACGCAGUAGGCUAACUAAACCAGACGAUUGGAAGUGUCUGGCCAAGCAGUGAGGUGUGAUAUGAGUCAAAUGCUUAUAUCUUUAACAUUGAGCUGUGAUGGGGAGCGAAGUUUAGUAGCGAAGUUAGUGAUGUCACACUGCCGAGAAAAGCUUCUAGCGUUAAUUAUACUCUACCCGUACCGCAAACCGACACAGGUAGUCGAGGCGAGUAGCCUCAGGUGAGCGAGAGAACUCUCGUUAAGGAACUCGGCAAAAUGGCCCCGUAACUUCGGGAGAAGGGGCGCUGACUGAUGGUCAGCCGCAGUGAAUAGGCCCAAGCAACUGUUUAUCAAAAACACAGCUCUCUGCUAAAUCGUAAGAUGAUGUAUAGGGGGUGACGCCUGCCCGGUGCUGGAAGGUUAAGAGGAGUGCUUAGCGUAAGCGAAGGCAUGAAUUGAAGCCCCAGUAAACGGCGGCCGUAACUAUAACGGUCCUAAGGUAGCGAAAUUCCUUGUCGGGUAAGUUCCGACCCGCACGAAAGGCGUAAUGAUUUGGGCACUGUCUCACGGAGAGACUCGGGGUAAUUUUAGUACCUGUGAAGAUGCAGGUUACCCGCGACAGGACGGAAAGACCCCAUGGAGCUUUACUGCAGUUUGAUAUUGAGUAUCUGUACCACAUGUACAGGAUAGGUAGGAGCCUAUGACCUCGGGACGCCAGUUUCGAGUGAGGCGUUGUUGGGAUACUACCCUUGUGUUAUGGCUACUCUAACCCAGAUAGGUUAUCCCUAUCGGAGACAGUGUCUGACGGGCAGUUUGACUGGGGCGGUCGCCUCCUAAAAGGUAACGGAGGCGCCCAAAGGUUCCCUCAGAAUGGUUGGAAAUCAUUCGCAGAGUGUAAAGGUAUAAGGGAGCUUGACUGCGAGAGCUACAACUCGAGCAGGGACGAAAGUCGGGCUUAGUGAUCCGGUGGUUCCGUAUGGAAGGGCCAUCGCUCAACGGAUAAAAGCUACCCUGGGGAUAACAGGCUUAUCUCCCCCAAGAGUUCACAUCGACGGGGAGGUUUGGCACCUCGAUGUCGGCUCGUCGCAUCCUGGGGCUGUAGUCGGUCCCAAGGGUUGGGCUGUUCGCCCAUUAAAGCGGCACGCGAGCUGGGUUCAGAACGUCGUGAGACAGUUCGGUCCCUAUCCGUCGCGGGCGUAGGAAAUUUGAGAGGAUCUGCUCCUAGUACGAGAGGACCAGAGUGGACUUACCGCUGGUGUACCAGUUGUUCUGCCAAGAGCAUCGCUGGGUAGCUAUGUAGGGAAGGGAUAAACGCUGAAAGCAUCUAAGUGUGAAGCCCACCUCAAGAUGAGAUUUCCCAUGAUUUUAUAUCAGUAAGAGCCCUGAGAGAUGAUCAGGUUGAUAGGUUAGAAGUGGAAGUGUGGUGACACAUGUAGCGGACUAAUACUAAUAGCUCGAGGACUUAUCCAA